Molecule: ribosomal RNA, 126 nt
Filed under: Saimiri boliviensis boliviensis (Bolivian squirrel monkey)
Lineage: Eukaryota; Metazoa; Chordata; Mammalia; Primates; Cebidae
Source: RNAcentral
AUUCUGCCAACAUUCAAGGCCACAUGAUCACAAAGGUACAGAGUCUUCUCUGUGAUCAGUAGCUUAAGGAUGUUAGGCCAUGAUUGGACUAGGAUGAGAGAUAAACUGAGAAUAUUCUGUAGGAUU